Molecule: non-coding RNA, 544 nt
Organism: Manis javanica (Malayan pangolin)
Lineage: Eukaryota; Metazoa; Chordata; Mammalia; Pholidota; Manidae
Source: RefSeq, a predicted model, not a curated record
GUGCACCAUGAAUAACAACCACUGGAUUAAAAUAUAUGUGGAACAUAAUGAUAUGUUAAUUAUGCAGAGUAAAAAAGAAUUGGUUGAUUUGGGCUGGAAUUUUUAAAGAUGACUUCACAGAAGAGAUGUGAUUUGAAUGAAGGUCAGAUACGGACAGAAGAUUCCUGUUGGAUUGAUCUGCAAUUAAUAAUAAAACUGCUGACAAUAAAUACCUGGAAAUGUUCAGAUACCUUCUGCUAUAUCUAUGAGAGCUGGUGAGCCAGUUUACCAGCGCACCAAGUUACAUGCACCUUAGAAGAGACCCAAUGAAAAUGUAAGUCUCUCCAAUUAAGACCAUUGCUUCCUGGGUAAAUAUUUAAAGAAGACACUGCUUAAGAGAGGUGAUAUUUUAUUAGACUGAUUAGGCUCAAAUCUCUUAGUGGCUGUCAGUUAACCUUCCUCUCUCCCUUAGUCUCCCUGUCCUUAAAAUAGAGUAUAAUAAUACUUACUUCACUAUAUUAUUCUGAUGAUUAACUGAGUUCCUUCAAGUGAUACGCUUGAAAAA